RNAcentral lists this ribosomal RNA (520 nucleotides) under uncultured Glomus. RNAcentral describes it as "SSU rRNA". It matches the Rfam family "Eukaryotic small subunit ribosomal RNA", at positions 569 to 1092 of the family's 1831-position model. Lineage: Eukaryota; Fungi; Glomeromycota; Glomeromycetes; Glomerales; Glomeraceae. The record is from RNAcentral.
AGCAGCCGCGGUAAUUCCAGCUCCAAUAGCGUAUAUUAAAGUUGUUGCAGUUAAAAAGCUCGUAGUUGAAUUUCGGGGUUAGUAGGUUGGUCAUGCCUCUGGUAUGUACUGGUCUCACUGAUUCCUCCUUCCUGAUGAACCUUAAUGCCAUUUAUUUGGUGUUUUGGGGAAUUUGGACUGUUACUUUGAAAAAAUUAGAGUGUUUAAAGCAAGCUAACGCUUGAAUACAUUAGCAUGGAAUAAUGAAAUAGGACGUUCGAUCCUAUUUUGUUGGUUUCUAGGAUUGACGUAAUGAUUAAUAGGGAUAGUUGGGGGCAUUAGUAUUCAAUUGUCAGAGGUGAAAUUCUUGGAUUUAUUGAAGACUAACUACUGCGAAAGCAUUUGCCAAGGAUGUUUUCAUUAAUCAAGAACGAAAGUUAGGGGAUCGAAGACGAUCAGAUACCGUCGUAGUCUUAACCAUAAACUAUGCCGACUAGGGAUCGGAUGAUGUUAAUUUUAAUGACUCAUUCGGCGCCUUACG